UGGGGAAUAUUGCACAAUGGGCGCAAGCCUGAUGCAGCCAUGCCGCGUGUGUGAAGAAGGCCUUCGGGUUGUAAAGCACUUUCAGCGAGGAGGAAGGUGGUGAACUUAAUACGUUCAUCAAUUGACGUUACUCGCAGAAGAAGCACCGGCUAACUCCGUGCCAGCAGCCGCGGUAAUACGGAGGGUGCAAGCGUUAAUCGGAAUUACUGGGCGUAAAGCGCACGCAGGCGGUUUGUUAAGUCAGAUGUGAAAUCCCCCGGGCUCAACCUGGGAACUGCAUUUGAAACUGGCAAGCUAGAGUCUCGUAGAGGGGGGUAGAAUUCCAGGUGUAGCGGUGAAAUGCGUAGAGAUCUGGAGGAAUACCGGUGGCGAAGGCGGCCCCCUGGACGAAGACUGACGCUCAGGUGCGAAAGGCGUGGGGAGCAAACAGGAUUAGAUACCCCUGGUAGUCCACGCUGUAAACGAUGUCGAUUUUGGAGGUUGUGCCCUUGAGGCGUGGNUUCCGGAGCUAACGCGUUAAAUCGACCGCCUGGGGAGUACGG
RNAcentral lists this ribosomal RNA (542 nucleotides) under uncultured bacterium. RNAcentral's name for it is "partial 16S ribosomal RNA". It matches the Rfam family "Bacterial small subunit ribosomal RNA", at positions 355 to 885 of the family's 1533-position model. The record is from RNAcentral.